CCAGCAGCCGCGGUAAUACGUAGGGUGCGAGCGUUAAUCGGAAUUACUGGGCGUAAAGCGUGCGCAGGCGGUUUUGUAAGCCAGGUGUGAAAUCCCCGGGCCUAACCUGGGAAUGGCAUUUGGGACUGCAAGGCUGGAGUGUGGCAGAGGAGACUGGAAUUCCUGGUGUAGCAGUGAAAUGCGUAGAUAUCAGGAGGAAUACCGAUGGCGAAGGCAGGUCUCUGGGCUGACACUGACGCUCAUGCACGAAAGCGUGGGGAGCAAACAGGAUUAGAUACCCUGGUA
This 285-nucleotide ribosomal RNA is filed under the name uncultured beta proteobacterium. RNAcentral describes it as "partial 16S ribosomal RNA". It matches the Rfam family "Bacterial small subunit ribosomal RNA", at positions 508 to 792 of the family's 1533-position model. The record is from RNAcentral. Lineage: Bacteria; Pseudomonadati; Pseudomonadota; Betaproteobacteria.